Molecule: ribosomal RNA, 1395 nt
Filed under: uncultured bacterium
Lineage: Bacteria
Description: bacterial SSU rRNA
Rfam family: Bacterial small subunit ribosomal RNA
Source: RNAcentral
CCUGGCUCAGUACGAGCGCUGGCGGCGUGCCUAAUACAUGCAAGUCGAACUAACGGAUAAAGAGCUUGCUCUUUUGAAGUUAGUGGCGGACGGGUGAGUAACACGUGGGCAACCUGCCUCACAGCUGGGGAUAACAUCGAGAAAUCGAUGCUAAUACCGAAUGUGCUGAACAUCAUAAGAUGUUCAAGUGAAAGACGGUUUCGGCUGUCACUGUGAGAUGGACCCGCGCUGGAUUAGCUAGUUGGUAAGGUAAUGGCUUACCAAGGCGACGAUCCAUAGCCGACCUGAGAGGGUGAUCGGCCACAUUGGGACUGAGACACGGCCCAAACUCCUACGGGAGGCAGCAGUAGGGAAUCUUCGGCAAUGGACGAAAGUCUGACCGAGCAACGCCGCGUGAGCGAAGAAGGCCUUCGGGUCGUAAAGCUCUGUUGUUAGAGAAGAACAUGGGUGAGAGUAACUGUUCACCCCUUGACGGUAUCUAACCAGAAAGCCACGGCUAACUACGUGCCAGCAGCCGCGGUAAUACGUAGGUGGCAAGCGUUGUCCGGAAUUAUUGGGCGUAAAGCGCGCGCAGGCGGUCUCUUAAGUCUGAUGUGAAAGCCCCCGGCUCAACCGGGGAGGGUCAUUGGAAACUGGGAGACUUGAGGACAGAAGAGGAGAGUGGAAUUCCAAGUGUAGCGGUGAAAUGCGUAGAUAUUUGGAGGAACACCAGUGGCGAAGGCGGCUCUCUGGUCUGUUACUGACGCUGAGGCGCGAAAGCGUGGGGAGCAAACAGGAUUAGAUACCCUGGUAGUCCACGCCGUAAACGAUGAGUGCUAAGUGUUAGGGGGUUUCCGCCCCUUAGUGCUGCAGUUAACGCAUUAAGCACUCCGCCUGGGGAGUACGACCGCAAGGUUGAAACUCAAAGGAAUUGACGGGGGCCCGCACAAGCGGUGGAGCAUGUGGUUUAAUUCGAAGCAACGCGAAGAACCUUACCAGGUCUUGACAUCCUUUGACCAUUCUGGAGACAGAACUUUCCCUUCGGGGACAAAGUGACAGGUGGUGCAUGGUUGUCGUCAGCUCGUGUCGUGAGAUGUUGGGUUAAGUCCCGCAACGAGCGCAACCCUUGAUUUUAGUUGCCAGCAUUUAGUUGGGCACUCUAAAGUGACUGCCGGUGAUAAGCCGGAGGAAGGUGGGGAUGACGUCAAAUCAUCAUGCCCCUUAUGACCUGGGCUACACACGUGCUACAAUGGAUAAUACAAAGGGUCGCGAAGCCGCGAGGUGGAGCCAAUCCCAUAAAAUUAUUCUCAGUUCGGAUUGCAGGCUGCAACUCGCCUGCAUGAAGCUGGAAUCGCUAGUAAUCGUAGAUCAGCAUGCUACGGUGAAUACGUUCCCGGGCCUUGUACACACCGCCCG